This is a non-coding RNA of Cordylochernes scorpioides, 73 nucleotides long. Lineage: Eukaryota; Metazoa; Arthropoda; Arachnida; Pseudoscorpiones; Chernetidae. The record is from the annotation of a GenBank genome assembly.
GUUCAGGGAUGGGAAUCGAACCCACAGUGUUCCGCUUACCGGGCAGAUGCCAUGUCCACUCGGUUACCCUGGA